This 244-nucleotide ribosomal RNA is filed under the name uncultured bacterium. Its description in RNAcentral is "partial 16S ribosomal RNA". It matches the Rfam family "Bacterial small subunit ribosomal RNA", at positions 112 to 352 of the family's 1533-position model. The record is from RNAcentral.
AACACGUAUCCAACCUGCCGUCUACUCUUGGACAGCCUUCUGAAAGGAAGAUUAAUACAAGAUGGCAUCAUGAGUCCGCAUGUUCACAUGAUUAAAGGUAUUCCGGUAGACGAUGGGGAUGCGUUCCAUUAGAUAGUAGGCGGGGUAACGGCCCACCUAGUCUUCGAUGGAUAGGGGUUCUGAGAGGAAGGUCCCCCACAUUGGAACUGAGACACGGUCCAAACUCCUACGGGAGGCAGCCAUG